UGGAGGCUAGCCCUGGCAUUUAAGGGGAGGCUGACUUGAGAGCAGGAAGCUUCCCGGCCCUGCCUCUGCCUCUGCUCUCAUCGCUUUGUGGAAGGGACGUAGGUGGCAAAAGGAGGAGCAGAAAUGUGGAAUCCCAAUCCAGGAAUGCCACCCCCAAAUGCCCAGGUCUGUCCACCUCCGGGGCCAGGUGUGCACCCUUCUCCUGGCCCCCCACCUCCUGGCCACCACCCUCAUGGCCCUCCCCCACCUGGCCCAGGAAUAAUGCCAGGAGGACCCGGCUGCCCGCCCCCACCACCUGGUGUCCAUCUUCCUCCUCCUCCUCCUCCAUGGGGUCUUCACAAGCACCAUCACAAACAUGGUCCUGGACACCACUGCCAUAAGGGAUUACAUAUUUCAUGGCAUUGAGGUCAUUUAUUCAGCAAACAGCACGUGACUGGUGUGCUCAGCUGAGUUCCAGUACCUCUCUACCUUCGUCAGAUGCAUUCAGAUAAGAAGAACUGGGUUUGAAUUCUGCCUCUGGCACCUGGAAAAGUCACUUCACCCAUGUCUGCCUCACUUUCCUGAUCUGUCAAAUGAGGAUGACAAAAGCCCUUACUUCAUAGCAUUGCUGUGAGGAGGAAAUGAGCUAAUAAAUAAGAAGUACUAUGUGAA
Molecule: long non-coding RNA, 651 nt
Organism: Phascolarctos cinereus (koala)
Lineage: Eukaryota; Metazoa; Chordata; Mammalia; Diprotodontia; Phascolarctidae
Source: RefSeq, a predicted model, not a curated record